This 209-nucleotide ribosomal RNA is filed under the name uncultured bacterium. Its description in RNAcentral is "partial 16S ribosomal RNA". It matches the Rfam family "Bacterial small subunit ribosomal RNA", at positions 568 to 775 of the family's 1533-position model. The record is from RNAcentral.
CACGUAGGCGGGCCGUCUUGCGUCGUGUGAAAUCCCUCGGCUCAACCGAGGAAUGGCAUGGCGAACGGGCGGUCUUGAGGCAGGUAGAGGUGUGGGGAACUCUUGGUGGAGCGGUGGAAUGCGUAGAUAUCAAGAGGAACGCCGGAGACGAAGGUGCCGCACUGGGCCUGUCCUGACGCUGAGGUGCGAAAGCCAGGGGAGACGAAACG